UUCGCCCUUUUCCGGUUGAUCCUGCCGGAAGCUACUGCUAUCGGGAUUCGAUUAAGCCAUGCGAGUCGAGAGGGUUCGGCCCUCGGCUGACUGCUCAGUAACACGUGGAUAACUUGCCCUCAGGUAGGGGAUAAUCUCGGGAAACUGAGGAUAAUACCCUAUAGGCAUCCUUUGCUGGAAUGCUUGGAUGUUCAAAGGUAACGCCUGAGGAUAGGUCUGCGGCCUAUCAGGUUGUAGUGGGUGUAAUGGACCCACUAGCCCGCGACGGGUACGGGCCUUGAAAGAGGUAGCCCGGAGAUGGACUCUGAGACACGAGUCCAGGCCCUACGGGGCGCAGCAGGCGCGAAAACUUCGCAAUGCGGGAAACCGUGACGAGGGAAUCCCGAGUGCUCAUACAAUGUAUGGGCUUUUCUUAUGUGUAAAUAGCAUGAGGAAUAAGGGCUGGGUAAGACCGGUGCCAGCCGCCGCGGUAAUACCGGCAGCUCUAGUGGUAGCCACUUUUAUUGGGCCUAAAGCGUCCGUAGCCGGUCAGGUAAAUCCUUGGGUAAAUCGUACAGCUUAACUGUGCGGCUUCCGGGGAGACUGCCUGACUUGGGACCGGGAGAGGUUGGAGGUACUCCUGGGGUAGGGGUGAAAUCCUGUAAUCCUAGGUGGACCACCGGUGGCGAAGGCGUCCAACCAGAACGGCUCCGACGGUGAGGGACGAAGGCUAGGGGCGCAAACCGGAUUAGAUACCCGGGUAGUCCUAGCUGUAAACGCUGCAGACUUGGUGUUGGAGAU
RNAcentral lists this ribosomal RNA (780 nucleotides) under uncultured archaeon. Its description in RNAcentral is "bacterial SSU rRNA". It matches the Rfam family "Archaeal small subunit ribosomal RNA", at positions 1 to 781 of the family's 1478-position model. The record is from RNAcentral.